Molecule: ribosomal RNA, 400 nt
Filed under: phytoplankton environmental sample
Lineage: Eukaryota
Description: partial small subunit ribosomal RNA
Rfam family: Eukaryotic small subunit ribosomal RNA
Source: RNAcentral
AGCUCCAGUAGCGUAUACUAAAGUUGUUGCAGUUAAAAAGCUCGUAGUUGGAUUUCUGGAUUUCGAUGCUAGCCCGCCACCUUAGGGUGUGUGAGUGCCGGAUAUCGUUGUCCAUCCUUCCUGAGCUGGGUGCGUACCCUUAAUUGGGUCGCGCGCCUUCUAAAGCUCUGGAUCAUUUACUUUGAAAAAAUUAGAGUGUUUAAAGCAGGCUUACGCCUUGAAUACAUUAGCAUGGAAUAAUAAUAUAGGACUUGGGUUCUAUUUUGUUGGUUUCUAGGACCGAAGUAAUGAUUGAUAGGGAUAGUUGGGGGUGCUAGUAUUCAGCGGCCAGAGGUGAAAUUCUUGGAUUCGCUGAAGACUAACUACUGCGAAAGCAUUCACCAAGGAUGUCUUCUUUAAU